Molecule: transfer RNA, 69 nt
Filed under: Enteromius trimaculatus (threespot barb)
Lineage: Eukaryota; Metazoa; Chordata; Actinopteri; Cypriniformes; Cyprinidae
Description: tRNA-His
Rfam family: tRNA
About the family: Transfer RNA (tRNA) molecules are approximately 80 nucleotides in length. Their secondary structure includes four short double-helical elements and three loops (D, anti-codon, and T loops).
Source: RNAcentral
GUAAGUAUAAUUUAACUAAAAUAUCAGAGUGUGGAUCUGAAAACAAGGGUUUAAACCCCUUUACUAACC